RNAcentral lists this ribosomal RNA (818 nucleotides) under uncultured Micrococcus sp. RNAcentral describes it as "bacterial SSU rRNA". It matches the Rfam family "Bacterial small subunit ribosomal RNA", at positions 19 to 848 of the family's 1533-position model. The record is from RNAcentral. Lineage: Bacteria; Bacillati; Actinomycetota; Actinomycetes; Micrococcales; Micrococcaceae.
CUGGCUCAGGAUGAACGCUGGCGGCGUGCUUAACACAUGCAAGUCGAACGAUGAAGCCCAGCUUGCUGGGUGGAUUAGUGGCGAACGGGUGAGUAACACGUGAGUAACCUGCCCUUAACUCUGGGAUAAGCCUGGGAAACUGGGUCUAAUACCGGAUAGGAGCGUCCACCGCAUGGUGGGUGUUGGAAAGAUUUAUCGGUUUUGGAUGGACUCGCGGCCUAUCAGCUUGUUGGUGAGGUAAUGGCUCACCAAGGCGACGACGGGUAGCCGGCCUGAGAGGGUGACCGGCCACACUGGGACUGAGACACGGCCCAGACUCCUACGGGAGGCAGCAGUGGGGAAUAUUGCACAAUGGGCGCAAGCCUGAUGCAGCGACGCCGCGUGAGGGAUGACGGCCUUCGGGUUGUAAACCUCUUUCAGUAGGGAAGAAGCGAAAGUGACGGUACCUGCAGAAGAAGCACCGGCUAACUACGUGCCAGCAGCCGCGGUAAUACGUAGGGUGCGAGCGUUAUCCGGAAUUAUUGGGCGUAAAGAGCUCGUAGGCGGUUUGUCGCGUCUGUCGUGAAAGUCCGGGGCUUAACCCCGGAUCUGCGGUGGGUACGGGCAGACUAGAGUGCAGUAGGGGAGACUGGAAUUCCUGGUGUAGCGGUGGAAUGCGCAGAUAUCAGGAGGAACACCGAUGGCGAAGGCAGGUCUCUGGGCUGUAACUGACGCUGAGGAGCGAAAGCAUGGGGAGCGAACAGGAUUAGAUACCCUGGUAGUCCAUGCCGUAAACGUUGGGCACUAGGUGUGGGGACCAUUCCACGGUUUCCGCGCCG